Molecule: ribosomal RNA, 246 nt
Filed under: uncultured bacterium
Lineage: Bacteria
Description: partial 16S ribosomal RNA
Rfam family: Bacterial small subunit ribosomal RNA
Source: RNAcentral
GCAAGUCGAACGGCAGCACGGAGCUUGCCCUGGUGUCGAGAGGCGAACGGGUGAGUAAUAUAUCGGAACGUACCCUAUAGUGGGGGAUAACGUAGCGAAAGUUACGCUAAUACCGCAUACGAUCUAAGGAUGAAAGUGGGGGAUCGAAAGACCUCAUGCGCGUGGAGCGGCCGAUAUCUGAUUAGCUAGUUGGUAGGGUAAAAGCCUACCAAGGCAUCGAUCAGUAGCUGGUCUGAGAGGACGAUC